GGAUGAAGAACGCAGCGAAAUGCGAUACUUGGUGUGAAUUGCAGAAUCCCGUGAACCAUCGAGUCUUUGAACGCAAGUUGCGCCCGAAGCCGUCAGGCCGAGGGCACGCCUGCCUGGGCGUCACACGCCGUUGCCCCCCGCGCCCCGCACCCAACUCUUUGGGAGCGACCGCGGGGCGGGCUGAUGAUGGCCUCCCGUGCGCUCCGCCGCGCGGUUGGCCCAAAUACCGAGUCCCCGGCGACGUGCGCCACGACGAUCGGUGGUUGAGAGACCUCUGUCGCAAGUCGUGCGCGCCCGUCGCGUCACGCGGGCUCGCAUAGCGCCUCGCGCCGCACCCGGUGCGGAGCUUUCAACGCGACCCCAGGUCAGGCGGGGUUACCCGCUGAAUUUAAGCAUAUCAAUAAGCGGAGGA
RNAcentral lists this unclassified non-coding RNA (412 nucleotides) under soil metagenome. RNAcentral describes it as "partial contains 5.8S ribosomal RNA, internal transcribed spacer 2, and large subunit ribosomal RNA". The stretch from base 2 to 123 matches the Rfam family "5.8S ribosomal RNA", at positions 35 to 154 of the family's 154-position model. The record is from RNAcentral.